CCAAUAGCGUAUAUUAAAGUUGUUGCAGUUAAAAAGCUCGUAGUUGAACUUCGGGGUUCCCCCAUUGGUCAGGCUUAACUGUCUGUACUGGUGGGAGGGAUUCUUACCUUCUGAGGAAUCUCUAUGCCAUUAAUUUGGUGUGGUGGGGAAUCAGGACUAUUACUUUGAAAAAAUUAGAGUGUUUAAAGCAGGCUAACGUCUGAAUCCAUUAGCAUGGAAUAAUGAAAUAGGACGGCUUGGUUCUAUUUUGUUGGUUUCUAGGAUCACCGUAAUGAUUAAUAGGGAUAGUUGGGGGCAUUAGUAUUCAAUUGUCAGAGGUGAAAUUCUUGGAUUUAUUGAAGACUAACUACUGCGAAAGCAUUUUGCCAAGGAUGUUUUCAUUAAUCAAGAACGAAAGUUAGGGGAUCGAAGACGAUCAGAUACCGUCGUAGUCUUAACCAUAAACUAUGCCGACUAGGGAUCGGACGAAGUUAAUUUUUAAAUGACUCGUUCGGCACCUUACG
Molecule: ribosomal RNA, 503 nt
Filed under: uncultured Glomeromycotina
Lineage: Eukaryota; Fungi; Glomeromycota
Description: partial small subunit ribosomal RNA
Rfam family: Eukaryotic small subunit ribosomal RNA
Source: RNAcentral